This 23-nucleotide non-coding RNA is filed under the name Arabidopsis thaliana (thale cress). Lineage: Eukaryota; Viridiplantae; Streptophyta; Magnoliopsida; Brassicales; Brassicaceae. The record is from RNAcentral.
UCCACCAGUGCCGCCUUCGUGGC